This 99-nucleotide ribosomal RNA is filed under the name Streptomyces typhae. Its description in RNAcentral is "Streptomyces sp. p1417 partial 23S ribosomal RNA". It matches the Rfam family "Bacterial large subunit ribosomal RNA", at positions 2831 to 2925 of the family's 2925-position model. The record is from RNAcentral. Lineage: Bacteria; Bacillati; Actinomycetota; Actinomycetes; Kitasatosporales; Streptomycetaceae.
AGGCUCCCAGUAGACGACUGGGUUGAUAGGCCAGAUAUGGAAGCCCUGUGAGGGGUGGAGUUGACUGGUACUAAUAGGCCGAGGGCUUGUCCUCAGUUG